RNAcentral lists this ribosomal RNA (301 nucleotides) under uncultured bacterium. RNAcentral describes it as "partial 16S ribosomal RNA". It matches the Rfam family "Bacterial small subunit ribosomal RNA", at positions 509 to 809 of the family's 1533-position model. The record is from RNAcentral.
CAGUAGCCACGGUAAUACGUAGGGUGCAAGCGUUAAUCGGAAUUACUGGGCGUAAAGCGUGCGCAGGCGGUUAUAUAAGUCAGAUGUGAAAUCCCCGGGCUCAACCUGGGAACUGCAUUUGAGACUGUAUGGCUAGAGUGUGUCAGAGGGGGGUAGAAUUCCACGCGUAGCGGUGAAAUGCGUAGAUAUGUGGAGGAAUACCGAUGGCGAAGGCAGCCCCCUGGGAUAACACUGACGCUCAUGCACGAAAGCGUGGGGAGCAAACAGGAUUAGAUACCCCUGUAGUCCCUGUCUCUUAUAA